This 903-nucleotide ribosomal RNA is filed under the name Triticum aestivum (bread wheat). RNAcentral's name for it is "partial small subunit ribosomal RNA". Lineage: Eukaryota; Viridiplantae; Streptophyta; Magnoliopsida; Poales; Poaceae. The record is from RNAcentral.
AUGGUGAAAAUAUCCACCCAUGAUAUCUGUGGGAGGUUGGUGUGUGUAAUAAGUUUGGGAUUUGUUUGUUUCAAUCAAAUGCCCACCCACGCCACGCAAGGAAGCAAGGAAGCAAACCGUCCGUCCCUAUCCAUCCAUCCUCUUCUUCUUCUUCUCCUCUGCUUUGCUUCAAUGCCAAGCCAUCCUCGGAUCGCUUCUCUCCUCUCCUCUCCUCUCGCCGGCGACGACUCUCCGUUCUUCACCCCGCGCAGGAAGAAGAAGGAGAAAGAAAGAAAGAAAAUGGCGGACAGCGGCGGCGGCGGCGACUGGGAGGUGGUGUCGCUCACGGCCUCCACCUACGCCGCCGCGCCGGGACCAAUCCAAGUCUCGCCCCUCCUCCACGCCGCCCACAAAACAGCAGAGUCGCCUCUUCUUCUCCUCCCAAAUCCUCCUGCUCCCCCUGCACAUUUCUUCAUGUCCCAGCACUUCAAUCUGCCACCGCUUUUUACUAGUACCCAUCCUGGGAAUAAUAAGGGAGGCCAAGAAUUACAAGAAUCCGGCCCUGCCGUGCCGGACGGUGAUGCUUCCGAUGAUGCCGACGGUCUCAACAUGCCCAUCAGCCCAGAAAACUACUGCCACAGCGAGAGCGAGAGGGAGGAUGUGCUGCUUCUUGCUAGUCCCGCCGGCAAUGGCCUUGGCCUGCAGGUGGAAGGAGGAGGUGAUCAACUGCAGCCAACCACCACGCCCUGCUCUCUUCCUGACGUUGCUGCAGGUUCAGAUGCUGCUGCUCCUGCUCCUGCUUCCGGCGGAGUCGCUGGCAAUGCUGCUCAGGCUCAGAAGAUAGGUUGCGCGGCAACUGAGCCACUUGGUCAGGCGAAGGUCAGCAUGCUUGGUGGAGGAGGCCCUGUUUCUCAGCAGGGGUAA